RNAcentral lists this ribosomal RNA (442 nucleotides) under uncultured bacterium. Its description in RNAcentral is "partial 16S ribosomal RNA". It matches the Rfam family "Bacterial small subunit ribosomal RNA", at positions 338 to 795 of the family's 1533-position model. The record is from RNAcentral.
CCUACGGGAGGCAGCAGUAGGGAAUCUUUCACAAUGGGCGAAAGCCUGAUGGAGCAACGCCGCGUGCAGGAUGAAGGCCUUCGGGUUGUAAACUGCUUUUAUAAGCGAGAAAUAUGAUGGUAACUUAUGAAUAAGGAUCGGCUAACUACGUGCCAGCAGCCGCGGUCAUACGUAGGAUCCGAGCAUUAUCCGGAGUGACUGGGUGUAAAGAGUUGCGUAGGUGGCAUAAUAAGUAGCUAGGGAAAUCUGGUGGCUCAACCAUUCAGACUAUUAGCUAAACUGUUAAGCUCGAGACCGUUAGGGGUAACUGGAAUUUGUGGUGUAGGAGUGAAAUGCGUAGAUAUUAGAAGGAACACCAAUAGCGUAGGCAGGUUACUGGGACGGUUCUGACACUAAGGCACGAAAGCGUAGGGAGCAAACGGGAUUAGAUACCCCUGUAGUC